AAUAAGUGCAGCCGUGGAUAUCCGUGUCCAACGUUUGACUGUCCGUCUUAUUUGAAAAAUUUAUGAAAAAAUUUAAAAAAUUUAGUCAUACAUAAAGCAUUAUUCAUGUUUUAUCAUCUAAUAGCAAUAAAAAUACUAAUCAUAAAAAAAUUCAAAUAAGACGAAUGGUCAAACGUUGAACGUGAAUAGUGUAAAACUACACUUAUU
Molecule: microRNA precursor, 207 nt
Filed under: Oryza nivara
Lineage: Eukaryota; Viridiplantae; Streptophyta; Magnoliopsida; Poales; Poaceae
Description: MIR812 microRNA precursor family
Rfam family: MIR812 microRNA precursor family
Source: Rfam by way of RNAcentral